This 274-nucleotide ribosomal RNA is filed under the name uncultured bacterium. RNAcentral's name for it is "partial 16S ribosomal RNA". It matches the Rfam family "Bacterial small subunit ribosomal RNA", at positions 523 to 796 of the family's 1533-position model. The record is from RNAcentral.
AUACGGAGGGAGCAAGCGUUAUUCGGAAUCACUGGGCGUAAAGGACGCGUAGGCGGGUUUGUAAGUCAGGUGUGAAAUCCUACAGCUCAACUGUAGAACUGCACUUGAAACUACAGACCUAUAGUAUGGAAGGGGCAGAUGGAAUUAGUGGUGUAGGGGUAAAAUCCGUAGAUAUCACUAGGAAUACCGAAAGCGAAGGCGAUCUGCUGGGACAUUACUGACGCUGAGGCGUGAAAGCGUGGGGAGCAAACAGGAUUAGAAACCCCGGUAGUCC